AUUGAACGCUGGCGGCAGGCCUAACACAUGCAAGUCGAGCGGAUGAAGGGAGCUUGCUCCUGGAUUCAGCGGCGGACGGGUGAGUAAUGCCUAGGAAUCUGCCUGGUAGUGGGGGAUAGCGUCCGGAAACGGGCGCUAAUACCGCAUACGUCCUGAGGGAGAAAGUGGGGGAUCUUCGGACCUCACGCUAUCAGAUGAGCCUAGGUCGGAUUAGCUAGUUGGUGGGGUAAAGGCCUACCAAGGCGACGAUCCGUAACUGGUCUGAGAGGAUGAUCAGUCACACUGGAACUGAGACACGGUCCAGACUCCUACGGGAGGCAGCAGUGGGGAAUAUUGGACAAUGGGCGAAAGCCUGAUCCAGCCAUGCCGCGUGUGUGAAGAAGGUCUUCGGAUUGUAAAGCACUUUAAGUUGGGAGGAAGGGCAGUAAGUUGAUACCUUGCUGUUUUGACGUUACCAACAGAAUAAGCACCGGCUAACUUCGUG
Molecule: ribosomal RNA, 484 nt
Filed under: uncultured bacterium
Lineage: Bacteria
Description: partial 16S ribosomal RNA
Rfam family: Bacterial small subunit ribosomal RNA
Source: RNAcentral